This is a long non-coding RNA of Felis catus (domestic cat), 643 nucleotides long. RefSeq lists it as uncharacterized. NCBI's taxonomy places the organism in Eukaryota, Metazoa, Chordata, Mammalia, Carnivora, Felidae. The record is from RefSeq and is a predicted model, not a curated record. The transcript has 3 exons.
GGUGUAUAGUAUUCAUGGAUAUAUAGUUGUUUAUUAAGCCAGUUCCCUGCUGUGGACGCUUGGAUUGUUUUCUUGCUAUUAUGAAAAAUGCUUCACAGGCUCCACCUGGCUCCCCAAGUAAUCCAGACUUGAUGAGGAGACCACACUUAGAGCAGCCCUUCACUCUACUGCAGGAGAACAACACUGCUCUUCUGUUAAGGAGACCUGGGUUUAGGUCUACCCCUGCCAGUCCUAUGGCUUUGGGAAACCCCAACUUGGAGUGGCCUUAUCAUCUACCUUUGCUUCUGGGCACCCUGGCUAUUGAAUGAAACUUGAGAAAAUCACAGAUCCAGGCUGACUGGUGCUGCUCACCUGAGCUCGCCACACCGUGCAAACACCACAGUACUCCAGCCACUCUCUUGUUCUGCACAAGGACUGUUCCAAAUGUACCUUUCUCUCUUCAAACUUCAGAGUGAGGAAGGGGUUAUGAGCUAAGGAAUGCAAGAGGCCUCCAGAAGCUAAGAAAGGCAAGGAAACAGAUUCUCCCCUACAACCUCCCGAAGGAACCAGUCCUGCAAACUUGUUGGGUUAUGCUUAGUGAAACUGAUUUUGGACAUUUGGCCUCUGCACCUACAAGAGAAUAAAUCUGUUUUGCUUAAAGUCA